This 253-nucleotide ribosomal RNA is filed under the name uncultured bacterium. RNAcentral's name for it is "partial 16S ribosomal RNA". It matches the Rfam family "Bacterial small subunit ribosomal RNA", at positions 524 to 776 of the family's 1533-position model. The record is from RNAcentral.
UACGUAGGGGGCACGCGUUGUCCGGAAUUAUUGGGCGUAAAGAGCUCGUAGGCGGUUUGUCGCGUCUGCUGUGAAAUCCGGAGGCUCAACCUCCGGCCUGCAGUGGGUACGGGCAGACUAGAGUGCGGUAGGGGAGAUUGGAAUUCCUGGUGUAGCGGUGGAAUGCGCAGAUAUCAGGAGGAACACCGAUGGCGAAGGCAGAUCUCUGGGCCGUAACUGACGCUGAGGAGCGAAAGCAUGGGGAGCGAACAGG